GGCAACUUAGCUCAGUAGGUAGAGCGUUAGAGUGAAGUUCUAAGUCGUCGGUGGUUCGAUCCCAUCAGUUACCA
Molecule: non-coding RNA, 74 nt
Organism: Lactobacillus johnsonii NCC 533
Lineage: Bacteria; Bacillati; Bacillota; Bacilli; Lactobacillales; Lactobacillaceae
Source: Rfam